AUGCGGUGCGGCCGCGGGGCAGGGCCGGCCCCAUCCCGGCAGCCGUGCCGCCAAAAAAGGGGGAUAUUUUGGUCGCUUUCUCUUUUGUUUUUGGUAAAAGUGGGGCAUGCACUCACGUCUAGGGCUCUGCCCCGCCUGGGAACGGCACGCUCUCAGCAGAAGAGGAAACCCCAAGAGCGGGAAGCUGCGCUGAGCACCGGGGCUGUCGCCACGGCCGAGAGGGGCACCGAGGGGUGCGGGGGGAUCGGGCAGCCGGGAAGGGCAGCGGAGCCCCGGUCCGGGGUGGCACAGCCCCGGUGGGCGAUGCUGGGCUGGCUGCUGGCGGCGCUGGCGGCGCUGGUGCAGGGCGGCACCCUGGCAGCCCACGUCUCCUGCUGGAUGAAAUGCAGCACCCCCAAGCCUUUCCACUGCUCCUGGCCGCCCCUCGGCCCGGCCGGCAACACCUCCUACAUCCUGAACCUCUGGUGAGUUGGGCAGCGCGGCGGGGAGGGGGAGCCCAUGGGAUGAGUCCCGGGUGCCACCCUGUGCCUGCUCCCUCCCCAGUUUUGAGAAGCGUGGCCUGUGCAGAUGGUUUGAGGCGGGCACGGCGACCAACUACAGCCCCUCACGUAGCCAAGUGUACAUCUUUGAUAACACCACGGCCUGGGUGGAGGCACACUGGGGGGACCAGGUCCACAGGACCCCCAACCACACCCUGCCCCUCAACGAGGCUGUCAAACUGGAUGCACCNNNNNNNNNNNNNNNNNNNNCACUGGGAUGUCCUUCUCCGAGACCGGAGGCCAGCUGAGGGUGAGGGUGCCACAGCCACAGUGCAACAGCCUGAAGCAGCCACUGAAGCAGCCCCCACAGCACGAGGCUCGCUUCUGGAGGGCGGGAGACAGCAGCUGGACACAGGUGACAUGUGAGACAGUGAUGGUGACUGCUAAAGAAAACUCAGUGACCUGUGCCCUGGGGGUCAAUGGCACCUUCGUGGUCCAGCUCCGGCACAAGCCUCCCCACUGGAGCAGCUACUGGAGUGACUGGAGCAGCAACAUCUCUGAGGGAAUCCUGAGGAGGCCGGUGCUGAGCCAUCAGCUGGGCAAACUGGGGAGAGACGGGCAGCGGGUGCUGAGGCUGAGCUGGCAGCCAGUCCUCAUGGAGCGAAAGGAUGUCACCUACAGGCUGAACAUCAGCAUGCUGGCGUGUGGCUGUGCAGGGUCAGAUGAGGAGGACACGGUGGAGCUGGGCGGGGAGGUGACAGAGCACAACCUCACCCUCUCCGGGGCGGAGUACGAAAUCCUGCUGACCGCCGCCAAUGCCGCGGGGCAGGGGCCGGCGCAGCAGCUCCGUGUGCCGGCAGAGCAGCUCGCAGAUCUCAGCUUCAAGGAGAUCAGCGUGGCCGGCAGCACCGUGACUGCGCAGUGGGAAGCGCCGGUGCCCGGAGAUGCUUUCUGCUUCGAGCAGCAGACCCUGUCAGAGCCUCCGAAACAGGGAGUCUGCAUCCAGCAGGAAUUCCCUGCCAACAGCAUCCACGAGCAGAGAGGCAAGGGAGCCCCCCAAGACCCCGCUGUCCCCCCAGCCGGGGUCAGAGGGUCUAACCAGCAGCCCCGGUUCCCCCAGGAGCGCUGGGAGCGCGGGGCUGUCACCUCCUCGCCGUGCACGGCCGGGACACGGAGCGGGGCUGGGCCACCUUCGCCCUGUGGCACCGCUACAGCAGCAACGGUGAGUGUGGAGCACGGAGCACCCGGGCACGGAGCAUCCGCACCCGGCUGCACUGCAGAAGGGGCGCUCCUGAAAUAA
Molecule: long non-coding RNA, 1779 nt
Filed under: Serinus canaria (Common canary)
Lineage: Eukaryota; Metazoa; Chordata; Aves; Passeriformes; Fringillidae
Description: lncRNA (ENSSCAG00000003510.1)
Source: RNAcentral